Molecule: microRNA precursor, 195 nt
Filed under: Oryza meridionalis
Lineage: Eukaryota; Viridiplantae; Streptophyta; Magnoliopsida; Poales; Poaceae
Description: MIR812 microRNA precursor family
Rfam family: MIR812 microRNA precursor family
Source: Rfam by way of RNAcentral
AAUAAGCACAACCAUAAGUUUUUGCGUUCAAUUUUGAUCGUCUGUUUUAUUUUAUUUUUUUAUAAUUAUUUUUUUAUUGUUAUUUGAUUAUAAAAUAUAAAUAAUACUUUAUGCGUGACUUAUGUUUUCUAGUUUUUUUUUAAAAAAAAGAUGGAUUAGUAAAGUUGGACAUGUAAAUUUAUGGUUGUGCUUAUC